RNAcentral lists this non-coding RNA (31 nucleotides) under Mus musculus (house mouse). The record is from RNAcentral. Lineage: Eukaryota; Metazoa; Chordata; Mammalia; Rodentia; Muridae.
UGCAAAGCGUGUUGGAGAAUGUGUUUCCAGC